CCCUUAGAUGUCCUGGGCCGCACGCGCGCUACACUGAUGUGUCCAGUAAGCACCUAACCUAUUCCGAGAGGAGCGGGUAACCUUAGCAAAGCACAUCGUGAUGGGGAUAGAUUAUUGCAAUUAUUAGUCUUGAACGAGGAAUUCCUAGUAAGCACAAGUCAUCAGCUUGUGUUGAUUACGUCCCUGCCCUUUGUACACACCGCCCGUCGCUCCUACCGAUUGAAUGUUCCGGUGAGCUCUUCGGACUGCGCGGUCUGCAGUUUCUGCGUUCCGUGCGGAAAGUUGUGCAAACCUUAACAUUUAGAGGAAGGAGAAGUCGUAACA
RNAcentral lists this ribosomal RNA (324 nucleotides) under uncultured eukaryote. Its description in RNAcentral is "partial 18S ribosomal RNA". It matches the Rfam family "Eukaryotic small subunit ribosomal RNA", at positions 1470 to 1796 of the family's 1831-position model. The record is from RNAcentral.